This 528-nucleotide ribosomal RNA is filed under the name Botryosphaeria sp. YN-J. Its description in RNAcentral is "eukaryotic LSU rRNA". The stretch from base 163 to 316 matches the Rfam family "5.8S ribosomal RNA". Lineage: Eukaryota; Fungi; Ascomycota; Dothideomycetes; Botryosphaeriales; Botryosphaeriaceae. The record is from RNAcentral.
CUCGGCCGAUCCUCCCACCCUUUGUGUACCUACCUCUGUUGCUUUGGCGGGCCGCGGUCCUCCGCGGCCGCCCCCCUCCCCGGGGGGUGGCCAGCGCCCGCCAGAGGACCAUCAAACUCCAGUCAGUAAACGAUGCAGUCUGAAAAACAUUUAAUAAACUAAAACUUUCAACAACGGAUCUCUUGGUUCUGGCAUCGAUGAAGAACGCAGCGAAAUGCGAUAAGUAAUGUGAAUUGCAGAAUUCAGUGAAUCAUCGAAUCUUUGAACGCACAUUGCGCCCUUUGGUAUUCCGAAGGGCAUGCCUGUUCGAGCGUCAUUACAACCCUCAAGCUCUGCUUGGUAUUGGGCACCGUCCUUUGCGGGCGCGCCUCAAAGACCUCGGCGGUGGCGUCUUGCCUCAAGCGUAGUAGAACAUACAUCUCGCUUCGGAGCGCAGGGCGUCGCCCGCCGGACGAACCUUCUGAACUUUUCUCAAGGUUGACCUCGGAUCAAGGUAGGGAUACCCGCUGAACUUAAGCAUAUCAAUAA